Molecule: ribosomal RNA, 491 nt
Filed under: uncultured bacterium
Lineage: Bacteria
Description: bacterial SSU rRNA
Rfam family: Bacterial small subunit ribosomal RNA
Source: RNAcentral
AAAUGAAUAGACGGGGGCCCGCACAAGCAGUGGAUUAUGUGGUUUAAUUCGAAGCAACGCGAAGAACCUUACCGGGGUUUGACAUCCAACUAACGAAGCAGAGAUGCAUUAGGUGCCCUUCGGGGAAAGUUGAGACAGGUGGUGCAUGGUUGUCGUCAGCUCGUGUCGUGAGAUGUUGGGUUAAGUCCCGCAACGAGCGCAACCCUUAUUGUUAGUUGCUACGCAAGAGCACUCUAGCGAGACUGCCGUUGACAAAACGGAGGAAGGUGGGGACGACGUCAAAUCAUCAUGCCCCUUAUAUCCCGGGCUACACACGUAAUACAAUGGCGGUCAACAAAGGGAAGCAAAGCCGCGAGGCAGAGCAAAUCCCCAAAAGCCGUCUCAGUUCGGAUUGCAGGCUGCAACUCGCCUGCAUGAAGUCGGAAUUGCUAGUAAUCGCGGAUCAGCACGCCGCGGUGAAUACGUUCCCGGGCCUUGUACACACCGCCCGU